Molecule: non-coding RNA, 76 nt
Organism: Podarcis lilfordi (Lilford's wall lizard)
Lineage: Eukaryota; Metazoa; Chordata; Lepidosauria; Squamata; Lacertidae
Source: the annotation of a GenBank genome assembly
GCUAAAUUAGCUCAGUUGGUUAGAGCAUGGUGCUGAUGAUGCUAUAAGGUUGCAGGUUCAAUCCCUGUGUGGGGCA